AUUUUUUUGAAAAAGUUUAAUAAUUUUGUUUUUUUUCUAUUUAAAAAAUCAUAUUUUAUUGAAUUUUAUUUUUAUAAAAAUAUUAUAGCAUAAAUGAUAAUAUUUUAUUAGAAAAAUAGAUAGAAAAGAUGAUAUUAUUUAAAGAUAUUCUUAGAUAUAAAAAUUGUAAAUUAAUUUUUUAAAAAAUU
Molecule: transfer RNA, 188 nt
Filed under: Pneumocystis jirovecii
Lineage: Eukaryota; Fungi; Ascomycota; Pneumocystomycetes; Pneumocystales; Pneumocystaceae
Description: tRNA-Pseudo(TCT)
Source: RNAcentral